Non-coding RNA from Spirodela intermedia, 171 nucleotides. NCBI's taxonomy places the organism in Eukaryota, Viridiplantae, Streptophyta, Magnoliopsida, Alismatales, Araceae. The record is from the annotation of a GenBank genome assembly.
CCCACCUUAGUGGGAGAGUUGCCACCGAAUCCCAUAAGAACUCCGGAGUUAAGUGUGCUCGGGUGGGGUCAAUCCCUAGAUGGGUGACCUCCCUGGGAGGUCCCCCAGUACAUGUGCAUGCGUUGCAAGACGCUUGUUGUGCAUGUGCUGAAAGGCAUCGCUGCCCAGCAU